Molecule: ribosomal RNA, 270 nt
Filed under: uncultured archaeon
Lineage: Archaea
Description: partial 16S ribosomal RNA
Rfam family: Archaeal small subunit ribosomal RNA
Source: RNAcentral
CAGCACCUCAAGUGGUCAGGAUGAUUAUUGGGCCUAAAGCAUCCGUAGCCGGCGCUGUAAGUUUUCGGUUAAAUCUGUACGCUCAACGUACAGGCUGCCGGGAAUACUGCAGCGCUAGGGAGUGGGAGAGGUAGACGGUACCCGGUAGGAUGGGGUAAAAUCCUUUGAUCUAUUGAUGACCACCUGUGGCGAAGGCGGUCUACCAGAACACGUCCGACGGUGAGGGAUGAAAGCUAGGGGAUCAAAACGGAUUAGAUACCCGAGUAGUCC